RNAcentral lists this transfer RNA (68 nucleotides) under Stictocephala bisonia. RNAcentral describes it as "tRNA-Met". The record is from RNAcentral. Lineage: Eukaryota; Metazoa; Arthropoda; Insecta; Hemiptera; Membracidae.
AAAAAGAUAAGCUAAAAAAGCUUUUAGGCUCAUAACUUAAAUAUAGGAAUUAAACAUCCUUCUUUUUA